UACCCAACAUGACCGCAUCUCAUAAAUUAAUUGUUAGGUAAUUGGGCAUAAGGCAUACCCAUUUAUGUCUUGUGUCGUGUUCUCAUCCUUUAACCUUCUAGUUGUUACCUCCAAAUCUUGCUGUCAUCUUUGCUUGCUUAAUUUUGUCUUGCACAUAAUCCUUGUACAUGCAAGACUUACCUAUGUCAGGUGAGAUUUC
This 199-nucleotide long non-coding RNA is filed under the name Sorghum bicolor (sorghum). RNAcentral's name for it is "long non-coding RNA (SBIC_LNC016011)". Lineage: Eukaryota; Viridiplantae; Streptophyta; Magnoliopsida; Poales; Poaceae. The record is from RNAcentral.